Long non-coding RNA from Gorilla gorilla gorilla (western lowland gorilla), 420 nucleotides. RefSeq lists it as uncharacterized. The record is from RefSeq and is a predicted model, not a curated record. The transcript is spliced from 5 exons. NCBI's taxonomy places the organism in Eukaryota, Metazoa, Chordata, Mammalia, Primates, Hominidae.
UUCUAAACCAUAGGAAAAUGAUGGAAGACACAGAAGAGCAGCAGAAGUGGGUAGAAGACUACUACAGAUGCCAGAUCGCCACUUCUGAAAGAAAGGCUCACGACAACUGGCUCUGUGUUUAAGCCUCGCAGAGGGAGAUGCAAGAGAAGAAGGCUGCCUACAAGCAGCACAGAUAGGAAAUGAUUGAAAAACAGAGAGUGCUGGAGAGACACAUUAGUCAGGAGCCAGCUAGUGGACAACCAGGCAUAGAGAAUCAUCCCCAAAGAGGUCAGUAUGGCUUUGGGAGGGCCCCUUUUUCAGGAUUGCCCUACUUGCUCUACUGCAUGGCUGGCUCUUCAGGACCAUUUGUGGGCUGCCAGACACCUCCUCUGCCUCGGUGGCCUCUGGGAACACAACCACUGCCUCCAUGCACACCACUUG